Paramuricea clavata is the source of this 222-nucleotide non-coding RNA. The record is from the annotation of a GenBank genome assembly. NCBI's taxonomy places the organism in Eukaryota, Metazoa, Cnidaria, Anthozoa, Malacalcyonacea, Plexauridae.
CUCAGUUGCAUUAUUCAUAGGCCUCAGCGCCUUACGUGAAUAUCAUUUUGGAAAAGCUAUUAUAAAGAAGAUUGUUAAGGAAAGAUUGUUACAAGUUAUAUACGAAAGAGUAUUGAAGUUAAAAAGCGACGUUACGUGAAGAAGACGAAAGAGUUGUGCUCAGUCAGACAGAAAAGAGACAAGUUGAACUGAUAUAGUUUUAAUUAUAUAGUAAUUGGAUAU